GGCGGCAUGCCUUACACAUGCAAGUCGAACGGCAGCACGGGGGCAACCCUGGUGGCGAGUGGCGAACGGGUGAGUAAUACAUCGGAACGUGUCCUGUAGUGGGGGAUAGCCCGGCGAAAGCCGGAUUAAUACCGCAUACGCUCUACGGAGGAAAGGGGGGGAUCUUAGGACCUCCCGCUACAGGGGCGGCCGAUGGCAGAUUAGCUAGUUGGUGGGGUAAAGGCCUACCAAGGCGACGAUCUGUAGCUGGUCUGAGAGGACGACCAGCCACACUGGGACUGAGACACGGCCCAGACUCCUACGGGAGGCAGCAGUGGGGAAUUUUGGACAAUGGGCGAAAGCCUGAUCCAGCAAUGCCGCGUGUGUGAAGAAGGCCUUCGGGUUGUAAAGCACUUUUGUCCGGAAAGAAAACCUCCGCCCUAAUAUGGUGGGGGGAUGACGGUACCGGAAGAAUAAGCACCGGCUAACUACGUGCCAGCAGCCGCGGUAAUACGUAGGGUGCAAGCGUUAAUC
This 513-nucleotide ribosomal RNA is filed under the name uncultured beta proteobacterium. RNAcentral describes it as "bacterial SSU rRNA". It matches the Rfam family "Bacterial small subunit ribosomal RNA", at positions 38 to 546 of the family's 1533-position model. The record is from RNAcentral. Lineage: Bacteria; Pseudomonadati; Pseudomonadota; Betaproteobacteria.